AUUAGAACAACACUACUGAUGGGAAAGGGCCACCUCAGGAUCAAGAAUCAUGUAUAACAACAAGUUGGUGUUGGAGUAAAUUAAGAGACUCAUAAAAGACCAACUGAGGUGGAAAAAUGGUCUUGCUUAGAGAACCCGUGCAUUGAAUACACAUUUCAGCAGCAGGAGAUGCAUUAGAUGGCAUGGUAAUUGUAUCCUAACGAACAAAUUCAUCCACUCAAAUGCAUCACAAAGAGUAGAAAUAAAGAUCUUUGGUAAACAUAUAAAAAUCCUAUAACAUUUUGGAUAUGGGAAGAUUAGAACAACACUACUGAUGGAAAAAGGCCACCUCAGGAUCAAGAAUCAUGUUUAACAACAAGUUGGUGUUGGAGCAAAUUAGGAGACUCAUAAAAGACCAACUGAGGUGGAAAAAUGGUCUUGCUUAGAGAACCCGUGCAUUGAUUACACAUUUCAGCAGCAGGAGAUGCAUUAGAUGGCAUGGUAAUUGUAUCCUAACGAACAAAUUCAUCCACUCAAAUGCAUCACAAAGAGUAGAAAUAAAGAUCUUUGGUAAACAUAUAAAAAUCCUAUAACAUUUUGGAUAUGGGAAGAUUAGAACAACACUACUGAUGGGAAAGGGCCACCUCAGGAUCAAGAAUCAUGUUUAACAACAAGUUGGUGUUGGAGCAAAUUAGGAGACUCAUAAAAGACCAACUGAGGUGGAAAAAUGGUCUUGCUUAGAGAAC
Molecule: long non-coding RNA, 725 nt
Filed under: Carica papaya (papaya)
Lineage: Eukaryota; Viridiplantae; Streptophyta; Magnoliopsida; Brassicales; Caricaceae
Description: long non-coding RNA (CPAP_LNC005201)
Source: RNAcentral